GAUGAACGCUGGCGGCGUGCCUAAUACAUGCAAGUCGAGCGAACAGACGAGGAGCUUGCUCCUCUGACGUUAGCGGCGGACGGGUGAGUAACACGUGGAUAACCUACCUAUAAGACUGGGAUAACUUCGGGAAACCGGAGCUAAUACCGGAUAAUAUAUUGAACCGCAUGGUUCAAUGGUGAAAGACGGUUUUGCUGUCACUUAUAGAUGGAUCCGCGCCGCAUUAGCUAGUUGGUAAGGUAACGGCUUACAAAGGCAACGAUGCGUAGCCGACCUGAGAGGGUGAUCGGCCACACUGGAACUGAGACACGGUCCAGACUCCUACGGGAGGCAGCAGUAGGGAAUCUUCCGCAAUGGGCGAAAGCCUGACGGAGCAACGCCGCGUGAGUGAUGAAGGUCUUCGGAUCGUAAAACUCUGUUAUUAGGGAAGAACAAAUGUGUAAGUAACUAUGCACGUCUUGACGGUACCUAAUCAGAAAGCCACGGCUAACUACGUG
Molecule: ribosomal RNA, 497 nt
Filed under: uncultured bacterium
Lineage: Bacteria
Description: partial 16S ribosomal RNA
Rfam family: Bacterial small subunit ribosomal RNA
Source: RNAcentral